AACGUAGGAGGCAAGCGUUAUCCGGAGUUACUGGGCGUAAAGAGUGUGUAGGCGGCAGUGUAAGCGGCUUGUGAAAGCGCCCGGCUAAACUGGGCGAGGACAGGUCAGACUGAACCGCUAGAGGACGAUAGAGGGGUGCGGUAUUCCGGGGGUAGCGGUGAAAUGUGUAGAGAUCCGGAGGAACACCAGUGGUGCAGACGGCGCCCUGGGUCGUACCUGACGCUGAGACGCGAAAGCGUGGGGGGCCAACGGG
RNAcentral lists this ribosomal RNA (253 nucleotides) under uncultured bacterium. RNAcentral's name for it is "partial 16S ribosomal RNA". It matches the Rfam family "Bacterial small subunit ribosomal RNA", at positions 524 to 776 of the family's 1533-position model. The record is from RNAcentral.